Molecule: long non-coding RNA, 754 nt
Organism: Homo sapiens (human)
Lineage: Eukaryota; Metazoa; Chordata; Mammalia; Primates; Hominidae
Gene: PCOLCE-AS1
Product: PCOLCE antisense RNA 1
Source: Ensembl
ACCUGGCUAAUUUUUGUAUUUUUAGUAGAGGCAGGGUUUCAGCAUGCUGUCCAGGCUGGUCUCAAAUUCCUAGCCUCAGGUGAUCCGCCCACCUCGGACUCCCAAAGUGCUGGGAUUAUAGGCGUAGCCACCACACCUGGCCUCCACUUCACAUCUCCAUUGCCUUCUCUCCAGACCUGGGCCAGACUAGGCCAAGGAGAAGGAAUUCUCACCCAUGACCUCUUCCAACUACUUGAAGCCCUCUGCAGCAUGUCCAGGGCCUCCCAGAAGAAGUCCUUCUGUGCGGCCAUCAGGGGCAUCCACCCUACGAUCUCCUUCAUCUUCUCCGUGCGGUCCUGCAACGUUUGGCAACUGUGGAUCUGGCUGAGGUACUCCUCGCAGGCCUGGGCCAUCCCCCCGGGGUCCUGGGGUGCUCUGGCCCCCAGGCUGGGCUCAGGAGUCCCCACCACCCUGCUGGCUGGCAGGUGGCGAUAGGGGGCGUGCUGCUCAAUGUCGUGGCUGGACAGGAUGUAUAGGCACUCCCUGGUGGCACAGAGGGCACAGGCACACAGAGGGACCUUGGAGGAGGAGAGAAAGGGGGCAUGGCUGAGUGGUGCUUUCCUUGCAGGGUUUCCCAGGGUGCCCGGGCUAAUCUGCCUAUUGCAUUCUUCCCUCUCACACCAGCCCUGAGCCGGCUAAGUCCCAGGGGUGUGUGAGGUUGGGCAAGGCCAGCACAGUCUGCUAAGGGAGAAAGCAGAGAGCGUGGUGUGCGGCA